RNAcentral lists this ribosomal RNA (253 nucleotides) under uncultured bacterium. RNAcentral's name for it is "partial 16S ribosomal RNA". It matches the Rfam family "Bacterial small subunit ribosomal RNA", at positions 524 to 776 of the family's 1533-position model. The record is from RNAcentral.
UACGGAGGAUCCGAGCGUUAUCCGGAUUUAUUGGGUUUAAAGGGAGCGUAGAUGGAUGUUUAAGUCAGUUGUGAAAGUUUGCGGCUCAACCGUAAAAUUGCAGUUGAUACUGGGGGGCUUGAGUAUGUUUGAGGCAGGCGGAAUUCGUGGUGUAGCGGUGAAAUGCUUAGAUAUCACGAAGAACUCCGAUUGCGAAGGCAGCCUGCUAAGCUGCAACUGACAUUGAGGCUCGAAAGUGUGGGUAUCAAACAGG